AAAGGCGCUUUCGGGUGUCGCUGAUGGAUGGACCCGCGGUGCAUUAGCUAGUUGGUGAGGUAACGGCUCACCAAGGCCACGAUGCAUAGCCGACCUGAGAGGGUGAUCGGCCACAUUGGGACUGAGACACGGCCCAAACUCCUACGGGAGGCAGCAGUAGGGAAUCUUCGGCAAUGGACGAAAGUCUGACCGAGCAACGCCGCGUGAGUGAAGAAGGUUUUCGGAUCGUAAAACUCUGUUGUUAGAGAAGAACAAGGAUGAGAGUAACUGUUCAUCCCUUGACGGUAUCUAACCAGAAAGCCACGGCUAACUACGUGCCAGCAGCCGCGGUAAUACGUAGGUGGCAAGCGUUGUCCGGAUUUAUUGGGCGUAAAGCGAGCGCAGGCGGUUUCUUAAGUCUGAUGUGAAAGCCCCCGGCUCAACCGGGGAGGGUCAUUGGAAACUGGGAGACUUGAGUGCAGAAGAGGAGAGUGGAAUUCCAUGUGUAGCGGUGAAAUGCGUAGAUAUAUGGAGGAACACCAGUGGCGAAGGCGGCUCUCUGGUCUGUAACUGACGCUGAGGCUCGAAAGCGUGGGGAGCAAACAGGAUUAGAUACCCUGGUAGUCCACGCCGUAAACGAUGAGUGCUAAGUGUUGGAGGGUUUCCGCCCUUCAGUGCUGCAGCUAACGCAUUAAGCACUCCGCCUGGGGAGUACGACCGCAAGGUUGAAACUCAAAGGAAUUGACGGGGGCCCGCACAAGCGGUGGAGCAUGUGGUUUAAUUCGAAGCAACGCGAAGAACCUUACCAGGUCUUGACAUCCUUUGACCACUCUAGAGAUAGAGCUUCCCCUUCGGGGGCAAAGUGACAGGUGGUGCAUGGUUGUCGUCAGCUCGUGUCGUGAGAUGUUGGGUUAAGUCCCGCAACGAGCGCAACCCUUAUUGUUAGUUGCCAUCAUUCAGUUGGGCACUCUAGCAAGACUGCCGGUGACAAACCGGAGGAAGGUGGGGAUGACGUCAAAUCAUCAUGCCCCUUAUGACCUGGGCUACACACGUGCUACAAUGGGAAG
Molecule: ribosomal RNA, 1046 nt
Filed under: Enterococcus faecium
Lineage: Bacteria; Bacillati; Bacillota; Bacilli; Lactobacillales; Enterococcaceae
Description: bacterial SSU rRNA
Rfam family: Bacterial small subunit ribosomal RNA
Source: RNAcentral